This 497-nucleotide ribosomal RNA is filed under the name uncultured bacterium. Its description in RNAcentral is "partial 16S ribosomal RNA". It matches the Rfam family "Bacterial small subunit ribosomal RNA", at positions 28 to 507 of the family's 1533-position model. The record is from RNAcentral.
GAUGAACGCUGGCGGCGUGCCUAAUACAUGCAAGUCGAGCGAACAGACGAGGAGCUUGCUCCUCUGACGUUAGCGGCGGACGGGUGAGUAACACGUGGAUAACCUACCUAUAAGACUGGGAUAACUUCGGGAAACCGGAGAUAAUACCGGAGAAUAUAUUGAACCGCAGGGUGCAAUAGUGAAAGACGGUUUUGCUGUCACUAAUAGAUGAAUCCGCGCCGCAUUAGCUAGUUGGUAAGGUAACGGCUUACCAAGGCAACGAUGCGUAGCCGACCUGAGAGGGUGAUCGGCCACACUGGAACUGAGACACGGUCCAGACUCCUACGGGAGGCAGCAGUAGGGAAUCUUCCGCAAUGGGCGAAAGCCUGACGGAGCAACGCCGCGUGAGUGAUGAAGGUCUUCGGAUCGUAAAACUCUGUUAUUAGGGAAGAACAAAUGUGUAAGUAACUAUGCACGUCUUGACGGUACCUAAUCAGAAAGCCACGGCUAACUACGUG